RNAcentral lists this ribosomal RNA (433 nucleotides) under uncultured bacterium. RNAcentral describes it as "bacterial SSU rRNA". It matches the Rfam family "Bacterial small subunit ribosomal RNA", at positions 28 to 478 of the family's 1533-position model. The record is from RNAcentral.
GACGAACGCUGGCGGCGUGCCUAACACAUGCAAGUCGAACGGAAAGGCCCUUCGGGGUACUCGAGUGGCGAACGGGUGAGUAACACGUGGGUGAUCUGCCCUGCACUUCGGGAUAAGCCUGGGAAACUGGGUCUAAUACCGGCUAGGACUACGGCCUUCAUGGGUUGUGGUGGAAAGCUUUUGCGGUGUGGGAUGGGCCCGCGGCCUAUCAGCUUGUUGGUGGGGUAAUGGCCUACCAAGGCGACGACGGGUAGCCGGCCUGAGAGGGUGUCCGGCCACACUGGGACUGAGAUACGGCCCAGACUCCUACGGGAGGCAGCAGUGGGGAAUAUUGCACAAUGGGCGCAAGCCUGAUGCAGCGACGCCGCGUGAGGGAUGACGGCCUUCGGGUUGUAAACCUCUUUCAGCAGGGACGAAGCGCAAGUGACGGUAC